UGGGGAAUAUUGCACAAUGGGGGAAACCCUGAUGCAGCGACGCCGCGUGAGCGAUGAAGUAUUUCGGUAUGUAAAGCUCUAUCAGCAGGGAAGAAAAUGACGGUACCUGACUAAGAAGCCCCGGCUAACUACGUGCCAGCAGCCGCGGUAAUACGUAGGGGGCAAGCGUUAUCCGGAUUUACUGGGUGUAAAGGGAGCGUAGACGGCAUGGCAAGCCAGAUGUGAAAUACCGGGGCUCAACCCCGGGACUGCAUUUGGAACUGUUAAGCUGGAGUGUCGGAGAGGCAGGCGGAAUUCCUAGUGUAGCGGUGAAAUGCGUAGAUAUUAGGAGGAACAUCAGUGGCGAAGGCGGCCUGCUGGACGAUGACUGACGUUGAGGCUCGAAAGCGUGGGGAGCAAACAGG
Molecule: ribosomal RNA, 404 nt
Filed under: uncultured bacterium
Lineage: Bacteria
Description: bacterial SSU rRNA
Rfam family: Bacterial small subunit ribosomal RNA
Source: RNAcentral